GAAUUUUUUAAAUAAACCAAUAGGUAAUCGUUCAAAACCUUUUCAAAGAAACAAUGUUUAAUCUUUCCAAAAUCUGAAACCUUUCCCUUCUUAUAAGAAAAUCUUAAUAAGAAACCAACCACGCAAUCAAACAACACAAUCAUUAAUUCAGCACCAAAGUUCAUUCUCAAAUGUAGCACGCCAGGACA
Non-coding RNA from Arachis ipaensis, 188 nucleotides. Lineage: Eukaryota; Viridiplantae; Streptophyta; Magnoliopsida; Fabales; Fabaceae. The record is from RefSeq and is a predicted model, not a curated record.